UACGUAGGGGGCUAGCGUUGUCCGGAAUCAUUGGGCGUAAAGAGCGUGUAGGCGGCCUGACAGGUCUGCUGUGAAAACUCGAGGCUCAACCUCGAGAUGUCGGCGGAAACCGUCUGGCUAGAGUCCGGAAGAGGAGAGUGGAAUUCCUGGUGUAGCGGUGAAAUGCGCAGAUAUCAGGAAGAACACCUAUGGCGAAGGCAGCUCUCUGGGACGGUACUGACGCUGAGACGCGAAAGCGUGGGGAGCGAACAGG
RNAcentral lists this ribosomal RNA (253 nucleotides) under uncultured bacterium. RNAcentral's name for it is "partial 16S ribosomal RNA". It matches the Rfam family "Bacterial small subunit ribosomal RNA", at positions 524 to 776 of the family's 1533-position model. The record is from RNAcentral.